AUUGAACGCUGGCGGUAUGCUUAACACAUGCAAGUCGAACGAUGAGAAAGAGCUUGCUCUUUCGAUUAGUGGCGGACGGGUGCGUAACGCGUAGGAAUCUACCUAUUAGUGGGGGACAACUUAGGGAAACUUAAGCUAAUACCGCAUACGCCCUACGAGGGAAGGAAGGGGAUCGCAAGACCUUUUGCUAAUAAAUUAGCCUGCGUAGGAUUAGCUAGUGGGUGGGGUAAAAGCUCACCAAGGCGACGAUCCUUAACUGGUUUGAGAGAAUGAGCAGUCACACGGGAACUGAGACACGGUCCAGACUCCGACGGGAGGCAGCAGUAGGGAAUCUUCGGCAAUGGACGAAAGUCUGACCGAGCAACGCCGCGUGAGCGAUGAAGGCCUGCGGGUCGUAAAGCUCUGUUGUCAGAGAAGAACAAGUACCGGAGUAACUGCCGGUACCUUGACGGUACCUGACCAGAAAGCCACGGCUAACUACGUGCCAGCCGCCGCGGUAA
RNAcentral lists this ribosomal RNA (500 nucleotides) under uncultured bacterium. RNAcentral describes it as "partial 16S ribosomal RNA". It matches the Rfam family "Bacterial small subunit ribosomal RNA", at positions 30 to 523 of the family's 1533-position model. The record is from RNAcentral.